GAUGAACGCUGGCGGCGUGCCUAAUACAUGCAAGUAGAACGCACAGAUUAUACCGUAGCUUGCUUCAUCAUAGACUGUGAGUUGCGAAUGAGUGAGUAAUGCGUAGGUAAUCUGCCUGGUAGCGGGGCGUAACUAUUGGAAACGAUAGCUAAUAUCGCAUAAUCUUAAUUAUUCCAUGGUAAUUAAUUGAAAGGUGGAAUUGUACCACUACCAGAUGGAUCUGUGUUGUAUUAGCUAGUAGGUGAGGUAACGGCUCAACUAGGCGACGAUUCAUCGGCGACCUUGGGGGGGGGACGGCCACACUGGGACUGGGGCACGGCCCAGAAUCCUUCCGGGAGGAGCAGGAGGGGAACUUCGGCAAUGGACGGAAAUCCGGCCGAACAAAGCCGCGGGGGGGGAGAAGGGUUUCCGAUCGUAAAGCUCUGUUUUAAGGGAAAGACGGGUGGGAGAGUGGAAAGUGCACACUGUGACGGUACCUUACCAGAAAGCGACGGCUAACUACGUG
RNAcentral lists this ribosomal RNA (505 nucleotides) under uncultured bacterium. Its description in RNAcentral is "partial 16S ribosomal RNA". It matches the Rfam family "Bacterial small subunit ribosomal RNA", at positions 28 to 507 of the family's 1533-position model. The record is from RNAcentral.